UACGAGGGGUGCAAGCGUUGCUCGGAAUUAUUGGGCGUAAAGGGUAGGUAGGUGGUCUCAUUUGUCUGGGGUGAAAGCCUUGAGCUUAACUCAAGAAGUGCCCCGGAAACGGUGAGACGGGAGUCUUGGAGAGGGUCGUGGAAUUCCCGGUGUAGCGGUGAAAUGCGUAGAGAUCGGGAGGAACACCAGAGGCGAAGGCGGCGACCUGGACAAGUACUGACACUCAACUACGAAAGCGUGGGGAGCAAACAGG
Molecule: ribosomal RNA, 253 nt
Filed under: uncultured bacterium
Lineage: Bacteria
Description: partial 16S ribosomal RNA
Rfam family: Bacterial small subunit ribosomal RNA
Source: RNAcentral